CGGAUGAAGUAUUAGCUUGUCGCAGAAAGUCUAAAAGGGAGCAUCAAACUGUGGAAGACAUUUAUGUGAAUCAUGAAGUGAUCCAAACCAUACAACGUAAAACAACUGGACCUUCACCCCCAGGUUCUGAAGAUGUAAAGAAGAGUUACUGGAGAGCUGCUGUGAUUCUUCUGGGUCUGCUGUGUCUUUUCCUCCUGACUGGACUCAUAGCUGUGGUUUUUCUAUUCACCCAAGGCAAAUCUCAGUGGAAAAUGGAGACAGUGAUACUACACAAGCUUGCUGACAACGUGACCAGCGAGAGAAACCAGUUACAGACCAGUUUCAACAUUCUGGUUAAAGAGAGAGACCAGCUCCAGAAAAGAUUGGAAGACAUGACCACAAGCAGAGACGACCUUCAGAGAAAGCUUCAAUGUAAUUAUAUCUUAAUGCUUGAUGGUAAAUGGCGUGUAUUUGUAUGGCACUUUACUAGUCCCUAAGGACCCCAAAGCGCUUUACACAUUCAGUCAUCCACACAUUCACACACUGGUGAUGGCAAGCUACAUUG
This is a long non-coding RNA of Astatotilapia calliptera (eastern happy), 544 nucleotides long. NCBI's taxonomy places the organism in Eukaryota, Metazoa, Chordata, Actinopteri, Cichliformes, Cichlidae. The record is from Ensembl.